GCGAUUCCCUUAGUAGUGGCGAACGAAAAGGGAAGAGCCCAUCGCAUAAUCUCCUGGGCUACCAAGCCUACGGCGAAAUGUUGCGUUAAGGGAAAGGUCGCUUCUAUUCCACGCACGCUCGUGCAUAUGCCUAAGCGCGAUUUGAAAUGUUCGCGCUUGUUCGGCAUUUGCGUAAGCAAUUUGUCGACGUACGGUUCCAUGGAGGGUGCAAGACCCGUAUGGCCUACGUUGCGUCGCGUUGGUAUGACCUCAUUCCCUAAGAGUCGCGUUGCUUGAACGUGCAGCGCUAAGCAGGUGGUAAACUCCACCUAAGGCUAAAUAUAUCCACAGAACCGAUAGCUAACAAGUACCGCGAGGGAAAGUUGAAAAGUACUCUGAAGAGAGGGUGCAAAGACCGUGAAACCGCUCAGGGUAAAAGCCAAAUGUCGAGUUAUCCUAGAUGCUGGGGCAUCGUUGUCUUCGGAUAACGAUAGUGGCUGUCUGCGUGCGCAUUAGAAGUUGUGAUGUUUAAUAUCGUUUAUGUGGUGAUUUAAGGUUACCACACUACGUUUUAUUCAGAGCCUCUCUAGUGCUUCGAACGCGUUGAGUACACCACCUUCAGGCCCGCUAACAGCCCACCGCAACUGCUGUCGAGGUCACUCGCGGUUAGAUGGAUAUUUGUCCGUGUCUUUCUCAUUAGCGUCUUAAUAUCGUCGAGUCACGCGUGGCGGGAGUGCCCGGAGUAGUUGUGAAUUUAUUUACGACGAAAAGGAGUCCUCGUGCGCGAGCGCACAGCUAAUGACAUCAAGGUUUUUUGACGUGAGUUUGACAUUAAGCGGGCAUUUAUCGUACUGCCAUUGCGAUUUUGUACGAUCCUCAACAGCGUUGUUCGCUGACACUAUUCAGUACGGUGGUAUAUGCUAGGUGACAUUGGUCACGUCUCGAAACACGGGCCAAGGAGCGUAGCGUGUGCGCAAGUCGGUGAAAUUUUCGAAAUUCUACGGCGACAGUGAAAGCGAGUGGUACGUAUUCAUACGUGGAAACGUAGCCGGAUUAGGACGGUAGUUCUUUUUAAGUCUAUACGUCUUGUCCGCAUUGUCAGGGCUGAUCCCGGUCGAAAGACUGGGCGCAAGCCCCGGGCUCGCUCAUAGUUCGCGGCGUAAGUCGUGACAGAGAGAGCACCGAGUAGCGCACACGGUACAACCCGAAAGAUAGUGAACUAUGCCUGGCGAGGACGAAGCCCCAGGAAACUGUGGUGGAAGUCCGUAGCCGUUGUGACGUGCAAAUCCAUGGUAUCAGCUGGGCAUAGGGGCGAAAGACCAAUCGAACUAUCUAGUAGCUGGUUCCGUCCGAAGUUUCUCUCAGGAUAGCUUGCGUGAAUAUGGCGCGUUUGUCUGAAUCUCAAAGCUUGCGACAUAAUCGCACUCGAGAUCGUACUGGCGUUGUUCGAGCUGAGGGCACCUAUGUGCGCCACGCUUCCGAUGCUUUUCUCAGAUUCCUCCGUAUGUCAGUUACGUCUGGUAAAGAGAAUGAGUAGAGGUUGCAUGCCGCGCGCCCUAAUGCGCGGCAGCGGCGGGGCGUUCUACGCCUCGCACUAUUAUCAAACUUUAAAUGGGCGAGAAACUUGGCAUUCCUUAACUGGAUUCAUGAUGCCGAGUGAAACGAGUGCGCGUCGCAUUUUUGCGGCGAGACUAGAAUGUGUCCGCGUUAAGUGGGUCCGUUCUGGUAAGCAGAACUGAUAAUGAGGGAUGAACCUAACGCUGUGUUAAGGGGCCAAAAAGACAGCUAUUUCUCGAAACCAUUGGAAAGGCGUUGCUUGCUGAAGACAGCAGGACGGUGGUCAUGGAAGUUGACAUCCGCUAAGGAGUGUGUAACAACUCAUCCUGCCGAAGCGAGUAACCCUGAAAAUGGAUGGCUCUCAAGCUCUCUCCCGAUGCACAGCCGUCAGAGGCAACAAGGCAGUUUUGUCUCAAAGCCCUGACGUGUAGGACGGAGUACCGGUAUGCGUCGAAGGUCUUAGCGUAAGCUGGGCUGGAGCUGCUGGUAAUUCAGAUCUUGGUGGUAGUAGCAAGUACUCUGGUUGAUAACCUUGAGCUAUGAGGUUGAUAAGGGUUCCAUGUCAACAGCGUUUGUACAUGGGUAAGCCGAUCCUAAGCCCACCUAUACCUUGGUAUAGAGUGCGUGCGCGACUUGCAGUUGACCAUGUCGGUAGCUUCGUAUGGACUCUGUGUCCUUCGAAGUGACUGAGUUUCGUUAUACUCUUUGUUCUAGUUUACGGAGGCUCCUACUCGAACGUAACGCUAUCUCUGAAAGAGUUGUUGCUUUGGGGAACGCUUUAGUGCGAGCUUUAUUCGUGUCAUGCAUGACUACAGCCACUGAUGUUCUAUUACCUGUUGCAAUUCAACUUAUGCCCUAACACCGCAGUGAGAGAUAGUAUUCGUUUUGAGUCCCUCUACUGAAAGAGCAUCUCUGUAGAUAGAAGAGUACUCGAAUUGGUAUGUGCUUGUCGUUUUGCCUGGCGAAAGGGAACUGUGGACUUAGUUCAUGGGCCUCUCUUGGUACCUUGUUGCGUCACCGUAGCACGAACUUAGCAAUAGCCUUUUGCUGAGCCUGCCGCAGUCUCGAGUCGCGCGAUGGGGAGAUGUCUCCUCUCAUUAAUCGAACCCCUAGAACCUGUUAAACGCCUUACGAGGAGUUAGGCUCUAUGUUCGUGAGAAGAGUAAUUUCUCUCCCCGAUCAUAUCGAUGUUUCUCGAGAUCCGUGAAAAGGUGGCCGAGGGGACUUUCUCAAAUGAAUUUCUACCGAGUUCAUAGAGUUUGCCAAGAGUGUACGUACCCGAGUCCGCAUCCGUCUCAAA
Molecule: ribosomal RNA, 2836 nt
Filed under: Paraphronima gracilis
Lineage: Eukaryota; Metazoa; Arthropoda; Malacostraca; Amphipoda; Paraphronimidae
Description: partial 28S ribosomal RNA
Rfam family: Eukaryotic large subunit ribosomal RNA
Source: RNAcentral